Molecule: long non-coding RNA, 265 nt
Filed under: Urocitellus parryii (Arctic ground squirrel)
Lineage: Eukaryota; Metazoa; Chordata; Mammalia; Rodentia; Sciuridae
Description: lncRNA (ENSUPAG00010020017.1)
Source: RNAcentral
GUUUCCUGUCGCUGCUUGGUAACAAUGGGGAAGAUAAUGGCUGCCUGAGCAACGUCUCGGAGCAGGCGCUGGGGUAGAGGCGGGUCUCAACCAGCGACUCAUCGGAGGCGGGCUUGAGAGAGGCGGCUGGGGAGGCGCGGAGAAGCCUCAGCGGAGACGGCCGAAACAACCGAGUGAGAUCCUGACCCUAAAACCGAAGCAGAGUGUGAAGAAAACUAAAAUCCAGUUUAUUGUAAUUCAAUACUAUGUCAUAACAGUCAGAUAA